Molecule: ribosomal RNA, 65 nt
Filed under: Pseudomonas koreensis
Lineage: Bacteria; Pseudomonadati; Pseudomonadota; Gammaproteobacteria; Pseudomonadales; Pseudomonadaceae
Also listed under: 4 other names
Description: partial 23S ribosomal RNA
Source: RNAcentral
GUGAGGCGUUGAGCUAACCAAUACUAAUUGCCCGUGAGGCUUGACCAUAUAACACCCAAGCAAUU